UACGUAGGGAGCAAGCGUUGUCCGGAAUCAUUGGGCGUAAAGCGCGCGUAGGUGGCCCCGUAAGUCCGCUGUGAAAGUCAAAGGCUCAACCUUUGAAAGCCGGUGGAUACUGUGGGACUAGAGUACGGAAGAGGCGAGUGGAAUUCCUGGUGUAGCGGUGGAAUGCGCAGAUAUCAGGAGGAACACCUGCGGUGUAGACGGCUUACUGGACCGUAACUGACGCUGAGGCACGAAAGCGUGGGGAGCAAACAGG
RNAcentral lists this ribosomal RNA (253 nucleotides) under uncultured bacterium. RNAcentral describes it as "partial 16S ribosomal RNA". It matches the Rfam family "Bacterial small subunit ribosomal RNA", at positions 524 to 776 of the family's 1533-position model. The record is from RNAcentral.